GACGAACGCUGGCGGCGUGCCUAAUACAUGCAAGUAGGACGCACAGUUUAUACCGUAGCUUGCUACACCAUAGACUGUGAGUUGCGAACGGGUGAGUAACGCGUAGGUAACCUGCCUAUUAGAGGGGGAUAACUAUUGGAAACGAUAGCUAAUACCGCAUAACAGUAUGUAACACAUGUUAGAUGCUUGAAAGAUGCAAUUGCAUCGCUAGUAGAUGGACCUGCGUUGUAUUAGCUAGUAGGUAGGGUAAAGGCCUACCUAGGCAACGAUACAUAGCCGACCUGAGAGGGUGAUCGGCCACACUGGGACUGAGACACGGCCCAGACUCCUACGGGAGGCAGCAGUAGGGAAUCUUCGGCAAUGGGGGGAACCCUGACCGAGCAACGCCGCGUGAGUGAAGAAGGUUUUCGGAUCGUAAAGCUCUGUUGUUAAGGAAGAACGAGUGUGAGAAUGGAAAGUUCAUGCUG
Molecule: ribosomal RNA, 467 nt
Filed under: Streptococcus anginosus
Lineage: Bacteria; Bacillati; Bacillota; Bacilli; Lactobacillales; Streptococcaceae
Description: bacterial SSU rRNA
Rfam family: Bacterial small subunit ribosomal RNA
Source: RNAcentral